This 28-nucleotide small RNA is filed under the name Bombyx mori (domestic silkworm). Its description in RNAcentral is "ovarian small RNA-8332". Lineage: Eukaryota; Metazoa; Arthropoda; Insecta; Lepidoptera; Bombycidae. The record is from RNAcentral.
UGAUCUAAAAUUUCUCGAACGUCAUUGC